This 215-nucleotide long non-coding RNA is filed under the name Elaeis guineensis (African oil palm). RNAcentral describes it as "long non-coding RNA (EGUI_LNC082060)". The record is from RNAcentral. Lineage: Eukaryota; Viridiplantae; Streptophyta; Magnoliopsida; Arecales; Arecaceae.
AGAUCUCUAUUUAUAGAUGAAUUUUUUAUAAUUUUUUGAUAGGAAAAGGAGUCCUAAAACUCUUAGAAAUUAUUUUAAUCUCUUAGGAAUAUUUUUGGCCAUCGGAUCAGCUUCAGACUGCCCUGAUCUGCCCGAAAAAUCCUCAUUUUAAUCCAAAUCAAAGUUGGAUCGAAUGUCAGCUAUUGGAUCUGGGUUUUGAUAAAGUUUUGGCCAUC